RNA transcript from Zea mays, 1404 nucleotides. It is a transcript of the gene named ran-binding protein 1, with no coding region annotated. The transcript has 4 exons. The record is from RefSeq and is marked provisional. Lineage: Eukaryota; Viridiplantae; Streptophyta; Magnoliopsida; Poales; Poaceae.
GCACGCCGCACAUGGGGCCCCACUCUCUGAAAGUGACCUAUCCUCGCUGGCUAUACGUCUCCCCUCCGCGCACAAAAACCCUAGCACGCAGGCGCAGCCAGGCCUGCACCCAAAGCUUCCGGAGAAUUCCUCCCUUGCCCCGCCGUCGCAUCCUCUUCGAAGUUCGAAUCGAAUCGCGCCGCGAUCACCCACCUCAUGGCGGACAAGGAGCCUGUCGUGGAGCGGCCAGAGGCGGGUGAGGAGGAGGAGGACGCCUCAGCCGCCGCCGCCGCGGGGGAGGAGGAGGACACGGGCGCCCAGGUGGCUCCCAUCGUGCGGCUUGAGGAGGUAGCCGUCACCACCGGCGAGGAGGACGAGGACGUCCUGCUCGACAUGAAGGCGAAGCUGUACCGAUUCGACAAAGACGGUAACCAAUGGAAGGAACGGGGCACGGGCGCUGUCAAGCUUCUCAAGCACAAGCAGACCGGCAAGGUCCGCCUAGUCAUGCGCCAGGCUAAAACGCUUAAGAUCUGCGCGAACCACCUCGUGGCCUCCACCACGAAGAUGCAGGAGCAUGCGGGCAGCGACAAGUCGUGUGUUUGGCACGCUGCUGACUUUGCCGAUGGCGAACUUAAGGAGGAGAUGUUUGCCAUCAGGUUUGGUUCGGUAGAAAGUGAGUCCUCUACCUCGUUUACCCGGUUGUUAAGCCCGAAGUAUCUGUCUGAUACCAAAUGGUUCAACUUCAUAAUCUCAGUGUUCUAAAAUAAAAUUUCAAGGGCCUUUUUUGUUUGAGCCCAGGCAUCCAAUUUUGGUGGCCUGGGGUUGACAUUGCUGCCUGGGAAGCUUCCAACCAAAUCCAAAAACUGCAAGAAGUUCAAGGAGUUGGUUGAGGAGAUAGCUGAGUCGCUUACAAAGAACGAGGGCAAGGAAGGUGAAGAUGGUGGUUCCACGGCUGGAUUGCUGGCGAAGCUCACUGUGAGCGAGGGCAAAUCUGAGGGAAGUGGCAAGUCUGAGUCCACUGAUUCUGGCAAAGUGACUGAAACCAAAGCCGACACAGCCCCAGCUGAGUAGUUGGUGUGGUUGCACUUGCACGCAGAUUCGCCUGGUGCUGAACUAGUUUGUCUGUCCGCGUCCAGUGGAAGUUUGGUGCCCUUUAGCCAUGGAAUACGAUUGCUAUCAUUUGGGCCCGGGCCGAGUUGGAGGAGUCUCAGGUGUUCGGUCUGGUUUGGUCCGGGCUUGAUUUUGCUAAAAACUUGGGAGUCCAUGGGGGUUGGGAACGUUUGAUAUGUGAGUCGCUAGUAUUUAACUGCAUGGAUCGUUGUGGAUUGCGGUAAAUUCAUAAAGUGGACCCUAUAUAUUUUUUAUUUCGUUCAAUACACAUUCAUAUCAUCAAUGAUUUAUAAUGGCAGUGCCUGUGGGGAGACU